UAGAGAGGGACUGUUUUUCAGGCUGGCCUGACUGAACUUGAGUUUAUGGUGACAAAACUGUUGCUCAUCUUUAUCAUGCAGAUGACUAUUUAAAGAAAGCAGUUAAACGACAAUAUUAGACACUGUAACCUGUGGCCUGUACUACACAGUGAGGUAACUUGCUUAUCCAGCACCUCCGGAAGCAGAAGCUGCAGGUCUUAAUGAAGAUGAAUAUCAAGAACAGUAUGAUAGCAAGGAGGAAGGCCACAACAUCCAGGCUGUGAUACUCAUACCAGGCAGGACUGAGAACCUACUGCCACCCUGACCAUCAAGUUAGGGAGGAAACAAAAGUCACAAAGUGCUUUACAUGGUUGGACAACAAUGUCAACCUUUCAGGGCAGAGGCAUAUACAAUCAAGCAAUUAAAAUGAUACAAAGUUUAAGUGGAAGAAGAUCCCCACAACAGGGAUGACAGUAAUAAUAAAAAGGUGGAGUGGAGACCCACAAUUGCUGUGAGGAAUUCAUGGGAGCACCUAGAUGGCAGGUGCUUAAGCACCUCCUGAAGCAGAAACUGCAGGUCUUAAUGAAGAUCAAUAUCAAGAACAGUACAAUGGCGAGGAGGAAGGCCACAACAUCCAGGCUGUGAUACUCGUACCAGCACCUCCGGAAGCAGAAACUGCAGGUCUUAAUAAAGAUGAAUAUCAGGAACAGUACGAUAGCAAGAAGGAAGGCCACAACAUCCAGGCUGUGAUACUCGUACCAGAAGCCUCGGGCUUCAUCCAGCUAGAGCCGACCAUCUGCAGCGUGUCAAGUUGCUCCUGCGAGCUCAUCUCCUUCGCCCUGGACGCUCCAGCGCCCCGCUCCCUCUCCGGUAGACCUACUAUGGGUUUAAAUAGGCCGUUUUUCCGUUUUAUAAAAUUUUGGUCCCAAUACAAAAAACCAACAUUCAGCUUGAUUUUUCUUUUUUUCUUUUCUUUUUUUUUUUAUUAAUCAAAACCA
Molecule: long non-coding RNA, 977 nt
Organism: Micropterus dolomieu (smallmouth bass)
Lineage: Eukaryota; Metazoa; Chordata; Actinopteri; Centrarchiformes; Centrarchidae
Exons: 7
Source: RefSeq, a predicted model, not a curated record